RNAcentral lists this ribosomal RNA (1477 nucleotides) under uncultured bacterium. RNAcentral's name for it is "bacterial SSU rRNA". It matches the Rfam family "Bacterial small subunit ribosomal RNA". The record is from RNAcentral.
UCAGGNCGAACGCUGGCGGCGUGCUUAACACAUGCAAGUCGAACGGAGUUUUGCGGAGAGCUUGCUCUCUGCAAGACUUAGUGGCGGACGGGUGAGUAACGCGUAGGCAAUCUGCCCGUAAGAGGGGGAUAACACCGGGAAACCGGUGCUAAUACCGCAUAACAUCACUGGGUUGCAUGACCCGGUGAUAAAAGGAGAAAUCCGCUUACGGAUGAGCCUGCGUCUGAUUAGCUGGUUGGCAGGGUAACGGCCUACCAAGGCGACGAUCAGUAGCCGGCCUGAGAGGGUGACCGGCCACACUGGAACUGAGACACGGUCCAGACUCCUACGGGAGGCAGCAGUGGGGAAUCUUCCGCAAUGGGCGAAAGCCUGACGGAGCAACGCCGCGUGAGUGAUGAAGGCCUUCGGGUUGUAAAACUCUGUCUUCAGGGAAGAAACAAAUGACGGUACCUGAGGAGGAAGCCACGGCUAACUACGUGCCAGCAGCCGCGGUAAUACGUAGGUGGCAAGCGUUGUCCGGAAUUACUGGGCGUAAAGAGCGCGUAGGCGGGAAUUUAAGUCAGGAGUGUAAACUGCCGGCUCAACCGGGAGCUUGCUUCUGAAACUGGAUUUCUUGAGGGUAUGAGAGGGAAGCGGAAUUCCUAGUGUAGCGGUGAAAUGCGUAGAUAUUAGGAGGAACACCAGUGGCGAAAGGCGGCUUCCUGGCAUACAACUGACGCUGAGGCGCGAAAGCGUGGGGAGCAAACGGGAUUAGAUACCCCGGUAGUNCACGCCGUAAACGAUGGGCACUAGGUGUAGGAGGUAUCGACCCCUUCUGUGCCGUAGUUAACACAAUAAGUGCCCCGCCUGGGGAGUACGGCCGCAAGGUUGAAACUCAAAGGAAUUGACGGGGGCCCGCACAAGCGGUGGAGUAUGUGGUUUAAUUCGACGCAACGCGAAGAACCUUACCAGGGCUUGACAUCCUCUGACAGCGUAUGAAAGUACGNNUUCGGGCUUCGGUUCGACAGAGAGACAGGUGGUGCAUGGUUGUCGUCAGCUCGUGUCGUGAGAUGUUGGGUUAAGUCCCGCAACGAGCGCAACCCCUAUCUUUAGUUGCCAUCAGGUGAAGCUGGGCACUCUGGAGAGACUGCCGGUGACAAACCGGAGGAAGGUGGGGAUGACGUCAAAUCAUCAUGCCCCUUAUGUUCUGGGCUACACACGUACUACAAUGGCCGGUACAAUGGGCGGCGAAGGAGCGAUCCGGAGCAAAUCCCAUCAAAGCCGGUCCCAGUUCGGAUUGCAGUCUGCAACUCGACUGCAUGAAGGCGGAAUCGCUAGUAAUCGCAGGUCAGCAUACUGCGGUGAAUACGUUCCCGGGCCUUGUACACACCGCCCGUCACACCACGAAAGUCGGCAACACCCGAAGCCGGUGAGCCAACCGUAAGGAGGCAGCCGUCGAAGGUGGGGUCAAUGAUUGGGGUGAAGUCGUAACAAGGUA